UAGGUGACCUGCGGAGGAUCAUUAAUGAAUUAUAAUGCUGAGGUUGUAGCUGGCCUUUCAAUCGAGAGGUAUGUGCACGCCUUGGUUAUUCCAAAUUCUUAUACCUCUGUGCACAUUACAUAGAAGAUUUAUUAGUUGGGUGAAAAGGAGGUUUGACCUCCCGGCAAUUCGACUCAAUAAUCUUCUGUGGUUCAUACAUUUAUACCAGUCAGUUCAGAAUGUAAUACCGCGUUUAACGCAAACUAUAUACAACUUUCAGCAACGGAUCUCUUGGCUCUCGCAUCGAUGAAGAACGCAGCGAAAUGCGAUAAGUAAUGUGAAUUGCAGAAUUCAGUGAAUCAUCGAAUCUUUGAACGCACCUUGCACUCCUUGGUAUUCCGAGGAGUAUGCCUGUUUGAGUGUCAUGGUAUUCUCAAUUCUAAUAACUUUUGUUAUCGGAAUUGGACUUGGAGGUUUUUUGCCGGUGCUUCGGCGGCUGGCUCCUCUUAAAUGCAUUAGUGUGAAUCAAGUUACACAUCAUUCAGUGUGAUAAUUAUCUGCGCUGUCUCAUGUUAACUUUAUAAGUGUUCAUGCUUAUAACCCGUCUGUUGACUCAGACACUUACUUUGAAAUCUGACCUCAAAUCAGGUAGGACUACCCGCUGAACUUAAGCAUAU
This 656-nucleotide ribosomal RNA is filed under the name Podoscypha cristata. RNAcentral describes it as "eukaryotic LSU rRNA". The stretch from base 251 to 404 matches the Rfam family "5.8S ribosomal RNA". The record is from RNAcentral. Lineage: Eukaryota; Fungi; Basidiomycota; Agaricomycetes; Polyporales; Podoscyphaceae.